Molecule: long non-coding RNA, 259 nt
Filed under: Mytilus galloprovincialis (Mediterranean mussel)
Lineage: Eukaryota; Metazoa; Mollusca; Bivalvia; Mytilida; Mytilidae
Source: RNAcentral
GCAUGAAUACAAACUGAAAAACAGUCAUUUAAACAUUUUUAAUGCAUAAAAUGACUAUAUGUUCAGAUUUGAGAGUCUAUUUAUGUAUUAUCACUUACAAUAAGGAGUCUUAUUUCAAAUGAGGGUUUACCUCUUGAAAGGGGUCUGCAAAUUGAAGUUCCAGUCAAAUUCAUGGUUCGUUAUAACUUUCCCAAUUUGAGAAAAAUGACGCAUAUUUUCCCAAUAAAAAGGGGUAGAGGUAAUUUUGAAAAAAGCCAAC